Non-coding RNA from Cordylochernes scorpioides, 74 nucleotides. The record is from the annotation of a GenBank genome assembly. NCBI's taxonomy places the organism in Eukaryota, Metazoa, Arthropoda, Arachnida, Pseudoscorpiones, Chernetidae.
UGGUUCCUGAUGGGAUUCAAACCAACAAUCUUUGGCUCCAGAGGUCAACACUUUAUCCUUUGAGCCACAGGAUC